RNAcentral lists this long non-coding RNA (811 nucleotides) under Physcomitrium patens. RNAcentral's name for it is "long non-coding RNA (PPAT_LNC013806)". Lineage: Eukaryota; Viridiplantae; Streptophyta; Bryopsida; Funariales; Funariaceae. The record is from RNAcentral.
CCAGUAUCACUGUAUCUGUUCUGUUCAAUUGAGGUAUAUACAUAUAUAUAUAUAUAUAUAUGUAUCUGUGUGUACUUCAUAUGUAACAUGAUAUUCACGAGCGUUGUAUUCAUGAUGGUUAUGAAGUAACUCCACCUUGUUUGAAAAGCUACAACCUUUUCAAACUGUCCCUCCGCUCGUGAAAGGUCGUCUAUCUCUCCAUCUUCCUAAGCAACCAAGAGAAAAAAAGAUAAUAAUUAAAAAAAAGAAAGAAAAAAAAAAAACGGAACUCAUCACUGUCUAUUCACUGAGCAUCAGAAAAGAAUCGUUCGAGUUCUUCGAUGCUACGUUGAAGUAACGUUGCAAAAUCUUUUCCUCUUUCGUCUCAUAUGGUUCAGCUAGCUACGUGAACCACCGAAGGCGUGGCGAAAGACAAAAAAAAAAAGCAGUGAAGCCAUCAGUGGAAGGCAAAAACCUCCUCCUGCGAUGAGUGGCGAACUGAAAGGAAACACUGGAAGUAAUCAAGUCGUAGAACGGAAACCCCUGCAGUGGGAUCUACGCUCCAGCGUCGGAGACUGGGAUCCUAAAUGCACAAACGCAGGCCCAUGUCGCGUCGCGAGCUAUGGAACUCGGCAACCUCUAUCCGCCCUCACGUUCGACCUCUCAAUGCGCUUGGGUACAUGGGACUCAGACCUUGGGAAUCCUUGCCCACAGCUCGCGGGAGAGUGCGGCGGAACGUGGAUAGCCUCGGGUCGGAAAGGAGGACCAGUUGGGCGAGGCCCAAUCUUCACGUUGGAUCUGGCGCCUUGCGAUGAUGCUGCUGCUGCUGCCC